RNAcentral lists this ribosomal RNA (443 nucleotides) under uncultured bacterium. RNAcentral's name for it is "partial 16S ribosomal RNA". It matches the Rfam family "Bacterial small subunit ribosomal RNA", at positions 338 to 795 of the family's 1533-position model. The record is from RNAcentral.
CCUACGGGAGGCUGCAGUGGGGGAUAUUGGACAAUGGGGGAAACCCUGAUCCAGCGACGCCGCGUGAGUGAAGAAGUAUUUCGGUAUGUAAAGCUCUGUCAGCAGGGAAGAAAGAAAUGACGGUACCUGACCAAGCAGCCGCGGCUAACUACGUGCCAGCAGCCGCGGUAAUACGUAGGGGGCAAGCGUUAUCCGGAAUUACUGGGUGUAAAGGGAGCGUAGACGGUGAUGCAAGUCUGGAGUGAAAGGCGGGGGCACAACCCCCGGACUGCUCUGGAAACUGUGUAACUUGAGUGCAGGAGAGGUAAGCGGAAUUCCUAGUGUAGCGGUGAAAUGCGUAGAUAUUAGGCGGAACACCAGUGGCGAAGGCGGCUUACUGGACUGUAACUGACGUUGAGGCACGAAGGCCAGGGGAGCGAAAGGGAUUAGAUACCCCAGUAGUC